This 101-nucleotide microRNA precursor is filed under the name Mesocricetus auratus (golden hamster). Its description in RNAcentral is "miRNA (ENSMAUG00000004485.1)". The record is from RNAcentral. Lineage: Eukaryota; Metazoa; Chordata; Mammalia; Rodentia; Cricetidae.
GUUAUAAUGGAGGCAGAAUCGAUUACAUUGAGCUUUUAAGAUGAAAAAGAUCCGGGCUAGAGAGAUGGCUCAGCCGUUAAAGGCUAGGCUCACAACCAAAA